UGAACCCAUGAACCGUGAGCUCGUGACCUGAGCCAAAGUCAGAUGCUUAACUGACUGAGCCGCCCAGGCGUCCCCAUUUUCUCUUAGCCAGUUAAUGUGGUUUCACAUUUGAAGUUCAAUUGAGUUUCAAAUGUGAAACCAACCUUGCGUUCCUAGUAUAAACCCCACUUGGUCAUGAUCUAUCAUCCAUUUUACAUAUUGUUGAAUUUAUCUUGCUGAACUAUUAAGAGGUUUUGCAUCUGUGUUCAUAGGAAAUGUUGUUCAGUAGCUUUCUUUUCUCCACUGCCAGGAAGAAGAUUCGUGGAUACUUCUGUACAUUUAUUUCAGUAAAAAUGCCUCGCGUAUCUACACAGUGGUUCUCAAAGUGGGAUCCUUGGACCGACAACAUUGACAUCACCUGGAAACUUAUCAGAAAUGCAGAAGUCCAGGCCCUAUCCCUGACCUGCCGAUUUGUAAACGCGGCGUGGAGCCCUCCAGUGCCUCUGUAUUCUUGAAAGCUGAGUAAGUUCACACCGUAUGAAGUCUCUCACAAAAUGUUUUCGAGAAGCUCUCAGGAAAUUCACACCGGGACAAAUUCCACACCAGGGAAGGUCUCCUCCGCCUGGGGUCCUCGGUCACCUUGCUUGGGCCCUGUCUCCCCCCCCAUCACCGCUUGGCCAUGAUGCCAAAACACCUUGCACAUGUCACCCCCUCUCCACGCCUCCCUGUCUACCCACCGAGUUUCUCCAAGGGCAGCCCAGGGAUCUGCGUCUGAUCAAGUUCAGACCCUUCCCGACUCCCCUGCCUGCCCCCCUCCUCACCACAGCCCGAGGGUCAGAGCAGGUGGGGUGGCCCCAGAGCCUGCCUUUCAUCACCUGGCACCCCCCCCGGCCCCCUCUCUGUUCUCCCACCUGGUCCCCGCCUCCCAGCCCCCAGCUCGCUCUGUCCCUCAGACUGAUUUCAUCCUCCCUCCGUCUGAAAGGGCCCUCGGGUCCUUCCACAGCGUCAGGGAGGGGUCUUCUUGCUCCUCGGGACCCACAGCACGUCCUCUGUCUGAAACCUACUUCCGCACGUGUCCUAUUGUCCGAGCCAGGCGGUGAGCCUCUGACACUGGGGGCCAUUUCUCAUGCUCCGUCUAGAACCCUACAUUCCACGGAUGUUCAGGAGACGCCUCCGAUGGAAGGAGUGAUGGUAAAAAGGGGAAAGGUCGCGAAAACCUUCCUACUUUCUCAUCAGCUAUGCACCGCAAGGAUCCCCGCUUCACUAUCGCACCUGGUUGUCUGCCUUGCAAAUGUUGGUUUGGAACCAAAUAGAAGUGUUUUUUUUUUUUUUUUUAAGGAGUUUCGUUAUUUAUUUUGAGAGAGAGAGCACAGGAGGGGCAGG
Long non-coding RNA from Felis catus (domestic cat), 1362 nucleotides. RefSeq lists it as uncharacterized. The record is from RefSeq and is a predicted model, not a curated record. NCBI's taxonomy places the organism in Eukaryota, Metazoa, Chordata, Mammalia, Carnivora, Felidae. The transcript is spliced from 3 exons.